ACCCAGACCGCCAGCUAAGGUCCCAAAGUUGUGGUUAAGUGGUAAACGAUGUGGGAAGGCUUAGACAGCUAGGAGGUUGGCUUAGAAGCAGCCAUCCUUUAAAGAAAGCGUAAUAGCUCACUAGUCGAGUCGGCCUGCGCGGAAGAUGUAACGGGGCUCAAACCACACACCGAAGCUGCGGGUGUCACGUAAGUGACGCGGUAGAGGAGCGUUCUGUAAGCCUGUGAAGGUGAGUUGAGAAGCUUGCUGGAGGUAUCAGAAGUGCGAAUGCUGACAUGAGUAACGACAAUGGGUGUGAAAAACACCCACGCCGAAAGACCAAGGGUUCCUGCGCAACGUUAAUCGACGCAGGGUUAGUCGGUUCCUAAGGCGAGGCUGAAAAGCGUAGUCGAUGGGAAACAGGUUAAUAUUCCUGUACUUCUGGUUACUGCGAUGGAGGGACGGAGAAGGCUAGGCCAGCUUGGCGUUGGUUGUCCAAGUUUAAGGUGGUAGGCUGAAAUCUUAGGUAAAUCCGGGGUUUCAAGGCCGAGAGCUGAUGACGAGUCGUCUUUUAGAUGACGAAGUGGUUGAUGCCAUGCUUCCAAGAA
This 587-nucleotide ribosomal RNA is filed under the name Pseudomonas aeruginosa. Its description in RNAcentral is "partial 23S ribosomal RNA". It matches the Rfam family "Bacterial large subunit ribosomal RNA", at positions 1025 to 1614 of the family's 2925-position model. Lineage: Bacteria; Pseudomonadati; Pseudomonadota; Gammaproteobacteria; Pseudomonadales; Pseudomonadaceae. The record is from RNAcentral.